RNAcentral lists this long non-coding RNA (2498 nucleotides) under Capsicum annuum. Its description in RNAcentral is "long non-coding RNA (CANN_LNC002222)". Lineage: Eukaryota; Viridiplantae; Streptophyta; Magnoliopsida; Solanales; Solanaceae. The record is from RNAcentral.
UUAAUUUCAGCCCCCAAAAGCAAUAUACACUCAAUUAUUCAUCUUUUCUCUCAAAGAAAAACCGUAGCCUCAUCAAGAACUUCAUCAAUUUUUCUUCAAGAAAAGUAAGAACUCAAGCUUCCUAAUUUAAGAAUGCUUUCAAGAUUGUGUUUCUCCUUAAAGAUUAAAGCUUUAAGGUAUGUUGGAGUUCAUCCAUGGGUCCUCUUUCACCCAUGGAACCCAAAAACUCUUUUCUUUUAAUUAAAUAAUGAAUUUUCCAUUACUAUGGUAUUUUGUAUGUUCAAGAAAGAUUGAAUUUCAUGUUUUCAUGAUGUUUUUAAUUCAAUUCAUCUCAUGUAUGAUUUCAUGAAAGAUUUUAAAUUCCUAAUGCUAUGACUUUGAAUUUUCCAUGCUUUAUUCAAGUAAAUUCCAUGAUAGAUUCUAAAUUCAAGAUGUUUAACAAUAUUCUCAUGUUUUAAAUUCAUGCCUUCCACAAGUUUGAUGAAAUUCCCAUAUUAUGUUAAGUCAAUUUCAAGAUGAAUCCCCAAGUUAUGAAUUUUUCUAUGUAACUCUAUUAUUCCCUCAUGAUUAUGACAUUCUUAUGCUCAAGUUAUGAACUUUACAUGUUUUGAUGAAAUAUCCAUAUCCUAUUUCAAGCAAAUUACAUGUGAAUUCCCCAAUUCAUGAUUUUGGUUAUGUAAUAAUGCUAUGCUAUCAUGUUUAAGAUAUUCUCAUGUCCAAGUUCAUGAUCCCCAUGUAUUUGGUGAAUUUCUUCAUAUUAAUGUAUUUAUCUUCACGAUCUUGAUAGAAUGAUCAUGUGAAUUAAAUAGGGUAAUCAUGACAUGUUACCAUGUGUUCUCAUUCAUGUACAAGUCCAUAACCUCCAAGUGUUUGAUAAAAUGUCUCAGUGAAUGAAUUGUGAACAAUUGACUAUGGCUAUGCUUUUCAAGAUCAUGCUAUGCUUUACUUUCCAUGCUAUCGAAUCCUGGAGGUAUUCAACACCCAAAAAUCUAGUUAUUUACCAAGAGCUACAGUGGUUAUAGAAUAGUGUCAAUAAAGUCAUCAUCAGUAGUACUCAAUUAGUUAGAACUUAGUGUAUUAAGUCAGACAUCAGAACUCAGUGAACUCAGUCCAGUUCAGUCAGUUAACACGAUCAGUAACAGUGCAAUCUAGCCUAGUACGGUUUAGAAAUAAGUUUUGUGUUUAUUUCAGUUGGGUGUAAGAUUCAGUACUGAGAAAACCUAAGGAUAGGGACUCACUUGCCAGCAGAGGGUUUGAUCCUUAGAAGCAGUCGUUGUGUUCCAAAAAUACAUAGCUAGCAUAGCUUGAGACAUCAACCUGCCAGAUUGAGGGUUGAUGAGGUGUAUUACCUGCUAGUUUAGGGUACUAACAUUCUCAUUCAGAGCACCUGCUAAAUUAAGGGUGACUCUUCAGCUUGUCUUUACCUGUGUCACAAUACAGACACCCUUCCAACAGAGGUUGCAGGUUGGACCCCAAUCCAUUCAGAGAGGGGCAUGUCAGUCAUAUGAUUACCUCCCAUAUUUUCUGUUUCAGUGUCAGACAGUAAAAAACUCAGUUCAGUUCUGCAAAAUUAUGACUGUAAAAAAUAGUCACCUAGUUAUCAGUAACUUAAUUAUCAGUAAUCGAAGCUAUCAGUUACUCAAUUAUCAAAACUCAGUAUUCAGUUCCAGUAUGAUUCUCAGUUAUAGCCUCAAUUACAGUCUUAGUUAUAGUCUCAGUCUCAAUCUCAGUCGAGUAAUCAGGUCAGUAACUUAAUUCAAUUUUAGGUUUGCUUUACCAUAGCAUACAAUUAUCAAUUAUUUAGUUAUCAGUAUUUUUGUACCUUAGUUUACAAACUAUUAUAGAAUCAUGUUAUAUGCUUGGUCUUGCAUUCUCAGAUAAUAUAGUUUUCAUGAAUUCAUGCUCAUUUAUCUCAUGUUACUCAGUCAGUCCUUACCUCAUAUGCAUAAUAAUCUACAGUUUCAGUCCAGUUAUUCAGACUAAGUACAGUUCAAUCUUACAUGCCCAAUAUUCAGCUAUCAGACAUACAGUUAAUUAGAUAAGUUAGUAUGUUUAUGCAUUCAUGAUUAGUGUGACUGUAUAUUUAGAUCCUCAAUUUAUGUCAGUCUCCAUCACGUAGUUUUAGACCCAGUAUUCGUGCAGUAUCUAUGUUUUUUAUCUUAUCCUAGCUACAUUUAUACUUAUAUCAUUAAAUCAAAGUUUUACAGAAACUAAGUGUAGAGAUUCACCAUCUUAUCUGAGAAUGUUUGUCACUCAUGCUUUAAGAUAUUUCAGUUUUCUCUUUAUUCCAUCCUAUUUGUGAGUCUACUUACACUUAGCAUGCAUGUUUUACGAUUAUAUAUGAAAUUAGUUUUUCUUAUUACAUUCACCCCUACAUACUCAGUACAUUCCAGAAUUACUGAUCUACCUAUACGUCUGUGUGGCAACAUUCUUUCAUAACCUAGGUACUAAUUGUAGUCUGUACAUCACGAUCAGACAAUUGUAGAUUCCAUCCAGCA